CUUUUGGAGCCAGCCGCCUAAGGUGGGACAGAUGAUUGGGGUGAAGUCGUAACAAGGUAGCCGUAUCGGAAGGUGCGGCUGGAUCACCUCCUUU
Molecule: ribosomal RNA, 94 nt
Filed under: Alkalihalobacterium chitinilyticum
Lineage: Bacteria; Bacillati; Bacillota; Bacilli; Caryophanales; Bacillaceae
Description: partial 16S ribosomal RNA
Rfam family: Bacterial small subunit ribosomal RNA
Source: RNAcentral